Phodopus roborovskii (desert hamster) is the source of this 343-nucleotide long non-coding RNA. RefSeq lists it as uncharacterized. The transcript is spliced from 2 exons. Lineage: Eukaryota; Metazoa; Chordata; Mammalia; Rodentia; Cricetidae. The record is from RefSeq and is a predicted model, not a curated record.
AACGAAAUGAAGGCUGUGUUCACAUGGAAGCCUGUUCAGAGGUUUAUGACAGCUGCAUCUUAGUCAAACUGGAACAACUCAGAAGUCCUCAGUGCUCAGUAUUCUGCAUUUGCCUGCGGAGAUGGCAGCUCAGUUUGUGUAGUACCUUUGUAGGUCGAAGAAAACAAAUUGCUUUGAGGUGUUUCAUGAUCUCUCGAUUUUGAGAAUCAAUUCGUUCGAAGAGGUAUACUUCCUUCUGAAGAAUCUCUGACUGUGUGUAAACCAUACUCACUAUACCAGUCUGAAAAGAAAAAGAAUGAACUAAGAUUACACUAGUCCAGACUAAUAAAAACAUGCAUCAAUA